This 297-nucleotide long non-coding RNA is filed under the name Capsella rubella. RNAcentral's name for it is "long non-coding RNA (CRUB_LNC000445)". The record is from RNAcentral. Lineage: Eukaryota; Viridiplantae; Streptophyta; Magnoliopsida; Brassicales; Brassicaceae.
AAAUAGGAUAAGAACUCAGAAACAUUGCGUUGAACCACUAAAUGACUUAUCUAGUGUUUUUUGGGGAUGGAAUAUGUUAGAAUACGAUAAAUUUGAUUGGUUACAAGUGCUAGAGAUGCGGGAAGAGUGUUUAAAAGUGUGGAAGACUUGUUUUAUUUGGGUCCCAAAUGGGAUAGGAACUCGGAAACAUUGAGUUGAACCACUAAAUGACUUAUCUAGUGUUUUUUGGGGAUAGAAUAUGUUAGAAUACAAUAAAUUUGAUUGAUUACAAGUGCUAGAGAUGCAUGAAGAGUGUUU